This 1776-nucleotide ribosomal RNA is filed under the name Triticum aestivum (bread wheat). RNAcentral's name for it is "partial small subunit ribosomal RNA". Lineage: Eukaryota; Viridiplantae; Streptophyta; Magnoliopsida; Poales; Poaceae. The record is from RNAcentral.
AUGGGUGUGCUCGUGCCUGUUGCCUUUGAUGAUGUCUUUUUCUCAGGAAGAAAAAAAGAGAAGGUGGGAGGGAGAGGGAGGGAGGGACGGACGGAUGGCCACGACGCCCGGAGGCACGAGAAGGCCGAAGUCGUCGUUGUUGCGCGUGGUGCCCAGGGGCGGCGGCUCCAAGACGCACUGCCCGCGCUGACUGCCGAUAAUAUCGCGUGUGCCAUACCACCGGUUACCUGGACGUCACGCUCCGGCGAUUCUUUUCGGCGUCAUGCGCCGCCGAUCGUCUGGACGCCGCGUGCCGCCGGCUGGACGUCUUGUGCUGCCGAUUGCCUGCACGAAGUGCGCCACCGAUCGUUUGCUACCGCAGCGGCGGCUUGGAACCUGGUCUUUCCCAAGGGUAAGAUGAUUUUCCUUUCCCUUGCUACAUGUUCCCAGCAGAGUGGCCAGGCGACCGGGACGGGCAGCGCAAGCGGAUCGUGCGGGCAAACCGGGCGAGCGGCGACGACGGUCGAGCAGACCAACCUUGAAAGUGGCAAUUUUGAGAAGCCACUUAUUGGAAGUGGCAAAUAUCCAAAUUUCUCCGCCCCGACUCCCCCGCUCGCCUGCGCCCUCCGCCGCUCCCCGCUCGUGAUGGCCGCCGCCCAGCUCACCGCCUCGCCCGCUCUGCUAGUUCCUGCUCUCCGCCACGCGCAGCCCAGCUCGCCGCCUCGCCCGCUCUGCCAGCUCCUGCUCUCUGCUGCCCAGGAUUGUUUUUCUCUCGCGCCGAAAAAAAUUUUUGGGCCCGGGGCUUGCUUCAAUCCUGGAUCCGCCGCUGUGUGCUGCUGCUGUGUUCAAAAAAGAAAAAUGGGGGUUGACGCCCGACCUAUGGAAUGGGUCGAUGGGACUACGAGCCUAAUUGGUUUGCAGCCAAAAAUUGGCAAGCCAACUAUUGGCGCUUACCAAAAAUUGACGGGCGAUUGGUUCGGCUCGAACCAACCAACUCCUGCCCCCACCGCUCUCCCCUCACGGUUCGCCCCACCAGAUCUAACCCUGUCCUCCUCCUUCGCCCUAACCCCAUCCCCUAGCGCCUCCUUCUACCACCCCUGCCCCUGCGCCGCCGGUGACCAGAAAAGCUCAAGGACCUCCAGCGGGAAGUCCUCGGCCAGCUGCCAAGCAGGGCCAGAUCCACCGGAGCAGUCAAGGUUAGUUCGUGCCCAAAUGUCAUGGGACUUCUCUUCUUUCCCCGUGUACUGUACCCAAUCACCGCUCUCUCAUCUGACUCCACAAGCGGAUGGUUCGAGGGCGACCCAGGGCCGCCGCCGCCGCUGCCUCCUCCUCCGCCUAGAGCGGCUCACCGCCGGCGCUGCCUCCUCCUCCUCCGCCAAGAGCGGCUCACCGCCGGCGCCCCCACCCCCUGGAAUCGCCUCUUUGCCUGCGUCUUCUUCUCUUCUCCACUGCCGUGCAACUCGAAAGAAAAGGGGAUACGCGUAUCGAAGCAGUAUCGGUGUCCGGAUAUCUCGGUGUCCGACCUGGAUCGCCACAUGUUCGGAUAUCUCGGUGUCCGACCUGGAUCGCCACAUGUACACCGCCGGCUGCCCAGACCCGGACAUCGUGAUCCGGACCUCGGGCGAGACCCGGCUGAGCAACUUCCUCCUGUGGCAGACGACGUUUAGCCAUCUGCAGAACCCAGACCCCCUCUGGCCUGAGUUCUCCUGGAGGCACCUCGUCUGGGCGAUACUGCAGUACCAGAGAGCCUACCCGUACAUUGAGCAGAACAAAGAUCUGGCUAAGAAGCAGCUGUGA